This 613-nucleotide ribosomal RNA is filed under the name Cheiroplatys latipes. RNAcentral describes it as "partial 16S large subunit ribosomal RNA". It matches the Rfam family "Bacterial large subunit ribosomal RNA", at positions 1844 to 2734 of the family's 2925-position model. Lineage: Eukaryota; Metazoa; Arthropoda; Insecta; Coleoptera; Scarabaeidae. The record is from RNAcentral.
UUUAAAGUCUAACCUGCCCAAUGAGGAGUUAAAUGGCCGCGGUAAUUUGACCGUGCAAAGGUAGCAUAAUCAUUAGUUUUUUAAUUGAAAGCUGGUAUGAAUGGUUGGACGAGAAAGUAACUGUCUCAAUUUAAUUUACAUUAGAAUUUUAUUUAUAAGUAAAAAAGCUUAUAUAUAUUUAAAAGACGAGAAGACCCUAUAGAAUUUUAUAUUUUUUUAUAUAGUAUUUUUAUAGUAUACUAAGAUUAUUAUAUAAGUGAAUAUUUUGUUGGGGCGAUAGAAAAAUUUAAUAAACUUUUUUUAUAUUAAUUCAUUAAUUUAUGAUUUAGUGAUCCAUUGUUUAUGAUUAUAAGAUUAAAUUACCUUAGGGAUAACAGCGUAAUUUUUUUUUAGAGUUCUUAUCGAAAAAAGAGUUUGCGACCUCGAUGUUGGAUUAAAAUUAACUUUUGGUGUAGGGGCUAAAGGGUUAGGUCUGUUCGACCUUUAAAAUUUUACAUGAUCUGAGUUUAAACCGGCGUGAGCCAGGUUGGUUUCUAUCUUUAAAAACUAUUGAAUAUUUUAGUACGAAAGGAUCAAGUAUUUAUAAAAUUUAUUAUAUAUUGAAUAUUAAUAU